GAAGGUAAUGAAUAUUCAAUUGAAAAUAAUGCAGGAGGUGGAAAAAUUGAAGGCCAUAAUGUUAAGAAAGUCAAGAAGAAGAAGGUCAAGUCAGUUGAAAAUGGUUUAGAGGGAAAGGGUAGUGAAAGAGAACCGAGAAUCAGCAAAGGUGUUGAGGCUACUAAUCCAUCAGAAAGGUCUACACCAAAAGGGACAUCUAAGAGAGUAAGUUUUUCUGAACAGGUGGAGGUUUUCCCUUUAUCUGAUGGUCCAAGUGGGAAGACUGUUCAGAAAGAGAAAUUGGUGCAGGGGAAGCGAUUCUCACGUGAGGAAGAUGAGAUGGUUAAAGAAGCCGUUUUGAACUACAUUAGUGCUCAUGGAUUGGGUGAAGAAGGCCUGAAGAUGGUUCUCAACUGUAAAAAGUACCCUGAACUUAAAAA
RNAcentral lists this unclassified non-coding RNA (419 nucleotides) under Hevea brasiliensis (rubber tree). Lineage: Eukaryota; Viridiplantae; Streptophyta; Magnoliopsida; Malpighiales; Euphorbiaceae. The record is from RNAcentral.